GGGGAGUACGGCCGCAAGGCUAAAACUCAAAGGAAUUGACGGGGGCCCGCACAAGCGGCGGAGCAUGCGGAUUAAUUCGAUGCAACGCGAAGAACCUUACCAAGGCUUGACAUGUUCUCGAUCGCCACAGAGAUGUGGUUUCCCCUUUGGGGCGGGUUCACAGGUGGUGCAUGGUUGUCGUCAGCUCGUGUCGUGAGAUGUUGGGUUAAGUCCCGCAACGAGCGCAACCCUCGUUCCAUGUUGCCAGCGGGUUAUGCCGGGGACUCAUGGGAGACUGCCGGGGUCAACUCGGAGGAAGGUGGGGACGACGUCAAAUCAUCAUGCCCCUUAUGUCUUGGGCUUCACGCAUGCUACAAUGGCCGGUACAAUGGGUUGCGAUACUGUGAGGUGGAGCUAAUCCCAAAAAGCCGGUCUCAGUUCGGAUUGGGGUCUGCAACUCGACCCCAUGAAGUCGGAGUCGCUAGUAAUCGCAGAUCAGCAACGCUGCGGUGAAUACGUUCCCGGGCCUUGUACACACCCGCCCGUCAAGUCACGAAAGUCGGUAACACCCGAAGCCGGUGGCCCAACCC
Molecule: ribosomal RNA, 569 nt
Filed under: Micrococcus sp. m2-15
Lineage: Bacteria; Bacillati; Actinomycetota; Actinomycetes; Micrococcales; Micrococcaceae
Description: bacterial SSU rRNA
Rfam family: Bacterial small subunit ribosomal RNA
Source: RNAcentral